GCAUAUCCAAUAAGCGGAGGAAAAGAAACCAACCGGGAUUGCCUUAGUAACGGCGAGUGAAGCGGCAAAAGCUCAAAUUUGAAAUCUGGUACCUUCGGUGCCCGAGUUGUAAUUUGUAGAAGGCGACUCUGGGGCUGGUCCUUGUCUAUGUUCCUUGGAACAGGACGUCAUGGAGGGUGAGAAUCCCGUAUGGCGAGGAUCCCAGUUCUUUGUAGAGUGCCUUCGAAGAGUCGAGUUGUUUGGGAAUGCAGCUCUAAGUGGGUGGUAAAUUCCAUCUAAAGCUAAAUAUUGGCGAGAGACCGAUAGCGAACAAGUACAGUGAUGGAAAGAUGAAAAGAACUUUGAAAAGAGAGUGAAAAAGUACGUGAAAUUGUUGAAAGGGAAGGG
This 387-nucleotide ribosomal RNA is filed under the name Zygosaccharomyces bailii. RNAcentral's name for it is "eukaryotic LSU rRNA". It matches the Rfam family "Eukaryotic large subunit ribosomal RNA", at positions 38 to 421 of the family's 3401-position model. Lineage: Eukaryota; Fungi; Ascomycota; Saccharomycetes; Saccharomycetales; Saccharomycetaceae. The record is from RNAcentral.